GCCUGCGCCGGGUACAGCGCCUCGGGAGGCGGCCCCGGCGGCCCGGGCGGCGCCGCGGGAGCCUGGUAGCCGGGCUCCCUGCGCGGUCGGGGGAAGUACUCGGGCAGCGGCGGGCCCGGGUGCGCGGCGGCGUGCAGGAAUAAUCUAGACACCGAUUCAGAAGAUUCAAUAUUUGCUGAAGUUGAAGUUUCAACUUCCUUGAAAAUAUUCUCAUUGAUAUUUUUAUUCUACACUGGAUUGAAAAAUAUGGAAUUCGAGAGGCUAAUUGUUUUGGUAAGGAAGCAAAUGAAUUUCAGUCACCUUCUCUUGAGUAACCCAGUUAUAGCAACAGCUUUCUUUCUGGGUGUAUCAAAGACGCAUUGUUGUUCUUGGAAACAAUCCGCCUGCUAUUCUUUAACAAAAUAGAUAUUUGGCUAUGGCUUUUAGCUUGUUAUCAGGCUUCUCUCUUACACCAAAUAAAUACUCUAGAUGUGAAAGGUUAAACGAUAUCUCCGGUGAGGGAAGGCUCCCCAAACGCGCAAUGCCAGGGCUCGCUGCAAGUUAGCAGCAGCAGGGACAUGCGAGCAACAUCUACACGCCGAACAAAUACUUGCAUGCACACCUUUUCUGCGCUUCGGCAGGUACUUCGGGCAAAAUCUCCAGUAACAGCUUUGGCUAAUCUGAAAUCUAACACCUCGCAAAUUUGUUCCCAAGAAAUAUCGCUCGGCUGCCACGAUCCAGCUGGGUCUGUAGCAAAUAAUUCACGCGUACCCAACGCAUCGAGGACGGUGUAGCCUCCUGCGUUUGGGGUCGAAAGGCAGCUAUGCGUGGAUGGUGGUGAGGUGCGCUUUCUCUGCCUUCCCCAUGGCACUGUCCCCUCCUCCACACCUUUCACAGCUGCUUAUCAAUAUUUUGGAAUCUCCUUUCCCCCUUCCAUCCUCAUCAUUGCAACCUGAAUCCGGCGGCGCCUUGUAGUGCCCUCCCCAAAAUAAUGCAGUUCCCUGUGCAAUAUUGGACACUUCUCCCUCCAGACCCGCCUAGCCGAGGAGCUAAAGGUUCAACACCGAGGCAGCACUGGAACAAAAAAUUCCCAGCAAUGUGGAAAUAACUCUCUGCGCAAAGAAACUCCUCUAAACUUUUUUUUUUUCUUUUUUCUUUUGGCGAGUGAGGGGAGGGAAAACAUCCCUUCCAUCCCUUCCUGCUCCCCAUUUCACUGGCAACUGCUGCCUCGGGUAAUUCCAGAAGGCUCUGCGGUCCAUCCAAAUCACGGAGCCGCGCUGGACGCCAGCUUCUCCGCAACAUUUUCCGUCGGUAGCACAACAUGGCCCCAUCGCUCCGCGGUUUAAGCGAGCUCCCUCGGACUAAACAUAUAACCCGCCCGUAUUAUCUGCAGCAUGUCCUGUUUAAGCACAGUUUAGUGGUCGCUACAGAAACGAGAGCAAAAACAAAGACGCGGCUAGGAUCGAUACACACGUUAAUAGCUUUGCUCCUAUCUUAUCUUCCUGCCAUUUUGCAAAGUGAGAAGGCUUAACAUUAAACCUCUUAAAGCGGGUUAUUAUAUAAUAAACAAGGGUGAAACAUUUUGCUACCUGACUCUCGGAGGAGGCAGCACCAGCGGCUGGCGUGGGGGUAACAUGCGUGUUUACCUGCCGCGCCUGAACCCAAGAUAUUCAGACACAAAUGUGGCCGAUAAUUCAAGAUGAAAUACAACGUGUAUUACUCUUGAAAAGAGGAAUUUUCUAUCCUUUCCUCGGUAAUUGAGGUCAUUCAGCCAGUAGGGUUCACCUGGAGUCCAUACUGUGAUACACACGUAACUCAAAGCUAUUUUAUCUUUUGUGCUGAUAGUCAAGAUCUCGGCUAUAACAUUGACAUCAAACUCUGUCUGGGCGAAUGACUAAGAGUGGUGCAAAACGUAAACUUUUGACCCUCAACUUUUUGACCUGCAGUUGUAACGCCCUUAACCACAAAGAUAUACAAAAGCUAUGCAGCUUCUUUUAGGAGUAAGAGACUCGCACUGUUUGUUUCAAUAGUUCUGCCGUUUCCCCCCGCUUUCUAAGGGCUUUUUUUUUUUUUCUUUCUUUUCUUUUUUCCUUCUUCUUGCUGAUGAGAAAUCGGAUACUUUUGCAUUUUAUAUUAUUGCUUUUUUUUUUUUUUCAUUUCUUUCUUUAAUCUGGCAGCUUUGUAAAGUGCUGUUAAAUCAGUUUGCACACCCUUUCGGCAGCGUUGGAGGAAAGCCUGUUACUCAAAGGCGCUAUAUGGUUACAAUUGCAGGUGAAAUGCUGGGUUCUGGCUCACAGGAGCCCCUGCGACUUUGACAGCUGUCGCUUUGGCUGCACAGGAGACGAAUCGCCCUCCUUUUGGUGCCAGAAGAAGCAGGAAAUUAGCCAGGUUGCAAGUUGAAAAUCUGCCACGCCAGUGCUU
Molecule: long non-coding RNA, 2400 nt
Organism: Oxyura jamaicensis (ruddy duck)
Lineage: Eukaryota; Metazoa; Chordata; Aves; Anseriformes; Anatidae
Exons: 3
Source: RefSeq, a predicted model, not a curated record